GGGGUACCUGGGCAUCAGCUAACUCAUCUGGUGAAAGUGAAUUUACAAAAAGAUCAGAAGUACAAGUACCAUUCCCAGUAUCCCCACUCCCCUCUUUUAAAUCCAGGGGAAGCAAUGUAGAUGGAUUUAACACCACACACCUUUUAAGAGUAACAUUAGGUGGCAUUAGCAAGGCACACUGCAUUCUGAGAUGCCUUGCAGUAUGUAUGUGUUUUGGUUGAACUUGUGACAGUAUGCUGUUGAUAUCAUGCGGUGUGUGUGUGUGUAUAUGGUCACCAGAUUAUCUAAAACAAUAUCAGUGGCAGUAACAGUAGGCAUUUUAUGCCGCAUGGGUUAAUUUAAAUGGUUUGUUUUCGUUGGCAAGGCACUCAUACAGGGGCUGCAUGUAGAUUUCUGUAGAAGCCAAGGUCGGCAGUAUGAAUCGUAG
Molecule: non-coding RNA, 427 nt
Organism: Pelobates cultripes (western spadefoot toad)
Lineage: Eukaryota; Metazoa; Chordata; Amphibia; Anura; Pelobatidae
Source: the annotation of a GenBank genome assembly